UAAUACUUCUAUUAUUAAAUACUAACAUCUUUAAAAGUGAUAAAAAUAAAGAACCUUGGCUUAGGCCAGUACUUUGCUCCUACUGCUAUGUCUUAGAGUUUAAGAAUGUGCACAUUUACAGAUAAUACUAAAGAGUGUUCCUUGUUUGCGUGCAAGUUCAUUAUUCUAUGUGAAAUACUAAAGAAGCACAGUGUUCUGAUACAUGUUCACGUGCAAAUAACAGGAACUGCUUCAAAAUCUGACUUGAGAGCAUGACCAUGUCGUUCACAAAAUGGCAACAGCCACUGUUGUUUCAAUGAAACUUUGGCCUUAUCAGAGUCAACGUGCAGUCCACUGUAUUCCUAAGCAAGUUACUGUGGCUUCUUUAUGUUGCUAUCUUAAGCCUUCAUACAACUUUCCUUAGACAGAACACUACUGAAAACUUUAUUAAUAAACUGACUUUCCCAAGAAGAAAAGGCACAGAAAUGUAUCCAGUGUGCAUAUGACAGACAGGCAGAGCUGGUGAGGACAUCCCAUAGUCCUGGAUUAAUUUAGAAAUACGGAUGCCUAACAAAGACAGAUCAGACCCUGCCUCAUCUCAGUAAGUUUCAGGCCUUAGCUUAAAAUUUCUGACUCACUUCCACGCUGGAAAAGUCAUGAAACUGCAGAUGAGGUCAUUCACGGCCCUCAGGGCCAACAGAACCCAGACCUGACCGCAGAGGUAGUGGCCAUCACUUAACUCUCCUGCAGCGAAUCUGGCACUGGCUAUGCAAAGAAUGUUCUGCUCCCUUCCCCUUUUCUCUAGAUUUCCCCCCUCGCUGUGUGAUCUGACUUCCUGUUCUCAUAUAAAAAAAAGAGCGAGGCCUGCUUAGCUUUCAGGGUUCUCUUUUUGCACGCUUAACCCUCACCCCUCCUCACUUUAUUUCAUUGGUUCUUCGGUGCAGGGCACAGUCAGAGUCACAGCAGCAGAUACGUUAGGUCUUGACAACAGUGUCAAUACCGAGCAGGGCACAAAAGGAAAACCAUCCACGUCCUCCUCCAAUAAGUUUACAAUAACACUGUGGCCGACUUGGCAGCACUCCCCGAGUGACACAUCCGAAACCGAUCGCACAUGAACUAGCGCGGAUCCCCGCACAGCGGCUUUUCGGCACGGAGAAGGCGCUCGAAAAGCCCGCCGGGCUCCCCGGCACGCCGCUGGGGCUGGAAAGGAGCCGCCCGCAGCGCUGACACCGGGACGGCCCGCAGCUCCUCUCCCGUCGGCGGAGGUUCCCAUGCCGGCGCCGGCUUCGGCUCCGCGCGGCUGCAGGGAGCCGGACUGCGCGGGGCGGAGGGGACAGCGCGGCGGCCCCGCGCAUCGCCCCCGUCCCGCCUCAGGAGGAGCCUGAGAGCGGCUCAAGCGGAGCAGCCGCCGCCCGUGACAAGCGCAGCGGAGAUCUUAUCGGCAGGAGGAAGUGCCGAGAUGUCGCGCUGCUUUUCCCCGAACCGCCGACUUUACCAGGUCUCCAAAAUGACCAAAUUCACCAAGGCCACAGCUCGCUGCCAUUUCCUCAGGUUCAUGGUGACUCCCACUGUCACCACAGCUGCGCAGACCUGACUACAGACCUGCAAGCGGAAGGAAAACCCGGCAUGCCUCUGGAAAUCACCCCCGUGAUUCACCGUGUGACAUUCCUCUGAGUAAGCACCAAGCUCAUGCCCAGCUUGAAGAUCGUUGUGGUUUAUGAAAUACAAAUACAUAAUGUACAUCCAAGACCACGAGUCAUGUCUGCAAUGUUCUCUGCAGCAUCUAUGUUGGUAUUUGCCAGCCAUGAAUUCCCCACCACCCUCAGUGAACAAUUAGGCUGAUGAUUACAGCUGCUGUGAGUCAUUUUGUCAGUUUGAGUGCUAAAGGUCUGUGGGAUGGAUUGAACGAUUCCAUUCCUACUAAUGAUCCAUGUGGGUGUGAACAUGCCACGUGAUGGAACGUCUGUGGUUUUGAGUCUUGGAAAUUACAGACAAGGCAUAGUUUGUAGUUAAAAGCAGUAUCUUCUAUCAGACCAACUGGCAGUCAGAAAAAGAUGUGACUUGAAGAGGGUAUCUGCAGAGAACCACAGACUCAUAAAAAUAAUGGGUUUGGAAGGGACCUCAAGUAGUCUGUAGUCCAGCCUCCUGCUCAAAGCUUGGCCAGCUGUGGGACCAGAUCUGGCUGAUCAGUGCUUUAUCCAGGUUAGUCUUGAAAGCCUUGAAGUCCCUUGCAGAAUUGUGUAAUCCAAAAUUAGGAGAUAGAUUGAUUUGUCCCAUUGUGUGUAUGGAUGUCGAUACUGCCUCUAACUAUAAAGUUAGAUGCAAUUCCCUUCACAAGCACCCCUGCUUCAUUCAGAUCAUAGUAUGGAUGUAUAUGUAGUAGGGGAACCUAAGGAGGCACACUGGCUAAAGUUAUUUUCAACAGCUUUUAUUCCAGAAGUUAGAUGACAUGUACUCAUUAAGGAAGGCGGACUGUAGAAGUAAAGAUUUGGUCUGACGGAUGAGAUAGGUCUGAAUUAUCAUUAGUUGUUUGUGCAGGUAAUUUGCAAGCUACUGAUGGACAAGUCUUAAACUUUCAAAUGUAUCUAGCUAAAAGAUAACUAAAAGUUUGAAACUGUUAGAUGUUCCUGGAUUUCUUCUCGAAGGCUUUAAAAGAGUGGAGUAAAAUGAGUUGUUCCACUAAGACCAAUGAACGUAUAUCUUGAUACUACAGGAAAACAUCAGGAAAUGCUAUUAGCUGGUGGAAUUCUUCUGAAUGGAAUCACACUUUGAUUUGUGUGGUUUUGAGGCUCUGUCCUGAAAGUAACAUCUUUUGGGCUUUCUAUUGAGUAAAUAUUUCAAUGUUUUCCUAUUCAAAAGAAUGCUGAAAUCCAGUAAGCACUGAAUGCCUGCCUACGAGAACAACUAAACUACCUUGCAUCAAUGUCCAGCCAUUUCAGAAGUAGCCAACAUCUUUGAGAUAUUAUGAUAUAGUAACAUUCAGUGAAAUGUAAUGAUGUUGCUAUCUGAAAUCUGUGUUCUGUAUUGCUAAAACCAAAAAUAUGCUUCAUUCUGGCAUAUAAAGUUGUAUUUACUGUGAAUCCAAGAACAGUGUUGUCCUAACAUCUAUACCCUUACAGUGUUGUCCUAACAUCUAUACCCUUACAGUAGUCUAUAAGAAAAUUGUUUUCCUUUAUGGUCUUUUACGAUUAACAUAUUUUAUUAGUUUUGAUUUAGGUCACCAGAAUGCUUGGGUGUACAUAAAUUCAUGAGUUGGUUUUGAUAAGAAUUGCACAGAAACAAAUCUCCUUCCCUGUACCCCAUACUCCCCCCACAAAAACCCAAUCAUGCUGUAACGUAUUUUUUCUUAAAAUGUGUGUGAAAUAUGAGAGAUGAGGUGAAAAACAUCUGACACCCUUGAACAAACUACUGUCCAGAAACAGUGAGACUCGAGGCACAGAAAGGAAAAGCGUAACAGUACUGCUAAGAAUGCUUCUUUUUGUUCACCAUCUGCUUAAAAGAACAAAACAGCUGCUUAAACAGGAUGUAGAUAACAUCACCCCCAAUGUCCCUUUGUAAACAUUUUCCAAGGAGACAGUGAUUAGCUACUUCCUUUUCAAGAUAUCUCUUGGUCGGCACCAAGAGGUGAGACACUGUUUAUUAGAAAUAUAGAAGUGAAUUGUUUUAACCUUUUUAAAGUACUUUCGCAGAUAAAUUGUUGUGGGUCUGACAGCACCUUUGAACGCAUGACAGGAUGAAAGUCGGGCUUGGAGAAAUGUGGGUUUUUUGGUGUUUUGUGCGUGUGGUUUAAUGUAAUACCUAAAAAUUCUGUUUUUCAAAUACCAACUAAAAUUACAGUGAUCCUUUGCAUUGGAAAUAAAUGCAUACACAUGAUUUCCAUCAGAUAGAGCUGCUUCAAAAGUUCCAAACAGAAUACACAAAAUUUAAUUUUGCUGUUGCAGAGCCAAAGGCCAGUAUUAAUGAUUUUGCCCACUUUAUUUGCCAUGACAAAUGCAAGUGGUAGGGAUUGUGUGAAGAAGCAAGAGUGAUAGAUAAGGAGAAAGGAGGAGUAAUCACAGGGGUUUCACGGGAUGUUGGUGUUCCAGGAGUGGUGUUUCUCUGCCCUUUGCUGCCUUUCUGAUCCUAUCAACAUGGCAGAAAGCAUUUCCAAAGGAGUUUCACCCUGAAGUGCAAUCCAUCAAUAAGCUCCAGAUUCCUCCUCUCCUAAGGGACUGGCUUUCCUUUUGCAUUGCUUUAGGGGAAGUGUUCUUUUCCCUUCUAAUCUGGUUAUGCUUACCCCUCCCUCCCUUCCUCUGGGCAUGCUCAAUAUGAGUCAGCUGAGGAAGAGUGGAAGCAAGGGAGCAGGAGAGAAAAAGCAUCUUCUCCCAAACUCAUGCCAGCACGCCAUGGAACUCUUGGUGCUGGAGGAUCAGCAGAACAGGGUUGUGAACAAAAAGGUAGAGUGGCUACAGCUAAUGCCAGUGGUUGCCAGGGGCUUUCUGUCAUCUGUUGUUAUUGAUACAAGAGUUAAUGGAAAGCUGGACAUUAUUUAAAAAAAAAGAAAUAGGCAAUUGCGUAGCUAUGGGCUGAACAUUGUAAGCUUAGCAUGUAUGUAUAUGUGAUCUAGGACAGUCAUGUUCUCAUGAAGGGAUAAUAAGAUUUAUUCCUCAGUUGGCAAGAAUUAAAAGGCACUUUGUAAAAAAUUAUGUUCGGAACAGGAUCAGGCAGAUGAAUACAGUAUAGUACAUUUUGAGUGAGCAAAGGGAUAGCAGUCCAUUGUGGUUACAUUUAAAAUGAAUACAGGUCAAUUGUCACCUACCUGGAUCUAAAAUCCUGCAAAUUUUUCCUGAACUCCUAAAACCUUUUCCUUCAUCUCCUCAUUUUAUCUCUCCUUACCUUUCCAGGUUUAAAGCAACAUGAAUUACUUUCUGUUAUAAAAAACUGCUCAGAAUAACAAUAUUGUCAAAUGACAAUAUUAUCAAAUAAUAGCAUUGUCAAACGUUACUCUGACUUUCUGGAUUAGAAACAUUGUCAGUUGCUGGCUUCAGUUUUAAUCAGGGAGAGCAGCCGUAGCAAUACUGCAAAGAAUGUAAUUGCAAAUAUAUACACAGAUAAAUAUUCGCUAGUAUAUCAGUAUUAUGAUUUGAAGGUAUUUAGGCACUAGUUCAGCAAACACAUUUAAACCCACCCUUCUUAUUGCAGGCAGGGAGAGGCAUAGGCAUAUUUUGAAAAUUAAACUGGUUUAAAAGAAAUGCUUACUUGCUCUGAGCAACUCCAGGAGCAACUUUAAGGGGCUCCUAUAAAGUCCCAGCUCAAGUACAUUUUUAGCUUAAGGAACUUCUACUUUCAUUACAAGUGUCUUUGUGAACAUUCAGCUUAGAAAAAAACACACAGUUGUCUAUAUAUGCUGAGCACAUUCAGUGCUAAGAUUUCCGGCAGUCAGGCUACAAGAAGGCUAGGAAAAUUGUCCAGAACUUCUUGUAGCUUCAACUGGAAUUUGUGUGUUUGUUAUUUAAACUGUUAGUUUACAGCUUUUUCUUUUGUCCUUUCAGUGAUUUGUAAAAAUUUAUUAAUGGUAUCUUUCUUUAAUGUGUUUGAAUGUUUCUAAAAUCCUAAGGUAUGAAUCUGAACAGUGAGGUCUUAUGACAACCUGGGAAUAACCUGUUAGAUUAAAGAUUCUGGUACUGUCUGAACAUGGUUGCUUGGAUGUGUUUUCUGUUUUUCUAUCUACCUGUUCUAUUUUAUCUUCUUUGGAAUUUUGAAGGGGGAUUGUCAACAUUUGUUCAGGGUGGCUAACAGGUUAAAAAAGUGAUUUGUGCUAUUUCCUUGUCAAAUGCAAUAAUGUUUCAAGAUUUGGCCUUAAACUUAGUUGUAUCUAUCUUUAAAAAGUCAAAAAACAAAGAGGAAGAGGGAAAAACAUUGUCAGUAAAUUGCAUGACUAAUAACUCAGAAUAACUAAACUAGUGUAUUUUAAUGCAGAUUGCCUUACAUCACAUAUAAGAGCAUGCCAAACGUUAUUAUUCUCAAUGCUAAUUGCAUCAGCUACAGGAUAUUAUUUAAAAGUAUGGACAAAAAAAUUUAGCACUGUUUCCACAGUAGAGCGAAAUGACAAUAAUGAAAGAAAAUUGUGCAUAAAUGAAAGUCAGAUUCUAACAGUAUUCAAAUCAUGAUUUUAGAAGGGGUAAACUAUUUGUAUACAGACAGGAAGGCCGUUUAAGGUCUUUUAUCUCAGUCUGUUGUUGUGGCAAUGAAAAAACAGUUCAAACUCUACUGAGGAUCAUUUUGACCCACCGACGGGAAGCACUAGAGUGCCAUGGUGGCUUAACACUGUCAGGGCUGCUGGAAGUCGAGCACACAUAGAUGUGCUAAGCCAUUUCGUUUUCAUGCAGAUUUUCAAAACUGUGCUGUGCUGAUAAUUAUGGUGAUGAUGCUAAAAUAAAAAGAUGCAAUUUGAUUAUAUUCUAUAUGCUUAAAUAGGAAGGUGCUGCGUAAAUUGCAGAAGAUGCUUAAGUAUAAUGCAUGAAAGUGAAAGGGACAUUUCUUUUAUUUUUAUUUUUUAUUUUGUUUUCAUGUUUUACUCUGCAUGCCUGAAUUUACACACAUGUAGUUCAAGUUAACAUGCAGCCACAUUCUCAAGCAUUGCAUGCAUGCAUUCCUCAGCACUGCUUGUACCAUUUACCUGAUCCUCCUGCUCCCUGAAAUUUAAUUUCAGUGCUUUUGAAAACAUCAGGGAUAUGAGGAAAUUCUGGAGGACUGUCAGCUAUCCAGCAAGCUUAUCUCAGUCAUAUGCCUUCUUUUAUUUUUUUCCCAUUUAUGUAUAGACUACA
Molecule: long non-coding RNA, 6785 nt
Organism: Numida meleagris (helmeted guineafowl)
Lineage: Eukaryota; Metazoa; Chordata; Aves; Galliformes; Numididae
Exons: 4
Source: RefSeq, a predicted model, not a curated record